GGGGACGACAGGAAUCGACAGUUAUGUUAGUGUUUCGGUCGCGAGUCGAGGCGACAUCUACCUCGUUAAUAAGGUGUCAAAAAAAAUAUUAACUGGCGAACGAAAAGUCGCCCUCGCCGCCUAACCGCGGUGACGUAGCUUUUGGACUCUCUCUGACGGUCUAGAAUGCUGCGACAUAUUGUCGGAGUGCUCUUCUCAAUCUGUAUCCUACAGGCCGUGAAGUCAAGAUUAAUUAGGAUCGGUUAAUGUCAGCUAGGACAUCAGAGACCAUUAACAUGAACUAACUGAUGACUACACUCGUAGACGCUGCCUCACGGCAUAGUCUGGACGGGGAGUUCGAUUCUCCCCCGUCUCCACCA
Molecule: transfer-messenger RNA, 359 nt
Filed under: Dehalococcoidia
Lineage: Bacteria; Bacillati; Chloroflexota
Also listed under: 1 other name
Description: UBA2979 sp002701625 Standard tmRNA
Rfam family: transfer-messenger RNA
About the family: Bacterial tmRNA, also known as 10Sa RNA or SsrA, is named for its dual tRNA and mRNA-like properties. Its role is to liberate the mRNA from a stalled ribosome.
Source: RNAcentral